This 1098-nucleotide long non-coding RNA is filed under the name Prunus persica (peach). Its description in RNAcentral is "long non-coding RNA (PPER_LNC002396)". Lineage: Eukaryota; Viridiplantae; Streptophyta; Magnoliopsida; Rosales; Rosaceae. The record is from RNAcentral.
CUUAUUAAAGCAUUGGGGGUCCGCGAAGGGUGGUGAGCUAAGAAGCAUGGAUACGCCAAUUUAGUGGCGUAUCCCGUAUCGGAUACUCGUUUGGAUACGAUACGCUUCGGAUACGGUUCGAUACGCAUUGGAUACGUAUCGCAGUCAACGGAUACGUUAGUUGACUAACGGAUACGAGUAUCUGACUUUUUGGAUACGAACCUCCGGCCGAAGUUUGCCGUUGAGGAGCCCCUGGCGCUGCAUGUGAAGAGGUAGGGGGAAGAAGAAGAAGAAGAUGUCAGACUGGAGGGAGGGAGAGAGGGAGGGAGAGAGAGAAGAAGAAGAAAAAGAUGUCAGACUGGAGGGGGAGAGAGAGGGACAAAGACAGAGAGACAGAGAGCGAGAGAAGAAGAAGAUGUUAGACUGACAUAAUUGUUAUUAUCUCAAGUGACGACGUCGUUUGCUAAAACAAGAUUUGUAAUAUAUGUUUCCUUUUACAUAGAUCUGUUUAUGGGUUUGGGUCUUAAGCAAUAGCAUUAAAAUGGGCUUUGGGUAAUGAUAUAUUUGGGUGAAAAAAGCUAUACAUGCCUAAAAAUAUAUAGAAUUAGAAAAGAAAGUCCAAAAUACUACACUAUAUUUAUAAUUUAUAAUUUAUAAUUUAUUUAAAAUAUAUUUUAGGUUAUAUAUAUUUAUUAAUAUAUAUUUAUAAUAACCGUAUCCAUGACAUAUCGUAUCCAAAUUUUUGGAAAUUUACCGUAUCCCCGUGUCGUGUCGUAUCGUAUCGCCGUAUCCGUAUCCGUGUCCGUGCUUCUUAGGUGGUGAGUCUUUUUUUUUAUUUUUUUUAAAUUUUAUCAGAAGAGUCUUUUAAUUGGUAUGGGCCCCAGCUGGUCCGUUUCUGUCUUGUUUCAACUCAUUCACACUUGCUUCUGUCUGACCAAGACUUUAAGAUAAUCUUCUAGUUCUGAGACCCCGUCAAGCAUUAUUUUACUAUUGCUACGGUACAGAGGUUUUACCAUGGUGGCGCCUUUGACUUGAUCUGUUCGUUGCUCGAUCUUUGUAUGUAACGGGCACAGCCCAAAACAAAGUCAAACAACUUCAAGACUUACACCGAAUUCUUUU